This 253-nucleotide ribosomal RNA is filed under the name uncultured bacterium. Its description in RNAcentral is "partial 16S ribosomal RNA". It matches the Rfam family "Bacterial small subunit ribosomal RNA", at positions 524 to 776 of the family's 1533-position model. The record is from RNAcentral.
UACGUAGGGGGCUAGCGUUGCUCGGAAUCACUGGGCGUAAAGGGUGCGUAGGCGGGUUUUUAAGUCAGGGGUGAAAUCCUGGAGCUCAACUCCAGAACUGCCUUUGAUACUGAAGAUCUUGAGUUCGGGAGAGGUGAGUGGAACUGCGAGUGUAGAGGUGAAAUUCGUAGAUAUUCGCAAGAACACCAGUGGCGAAGGCGGCUCACUGGCCCGAUACUGACGCUGAGGCACGAAAGCGUGGGGAGCAAACAGG